CAAUAGCGUAUAUUUAAGUUGCUGCAGUUAAAAAGCUCGUAGUUGGAUUUCGGGUGGGAAUGGCCGGUCCGCCGUUUCGGUGUGCACUUGCUACGCCCACCUUGCUGCCGGGGACGUGCUCUUGAGUUCACGCGCGGGACACGGAGUCGGCGAGGUUACUUUGAGUAAAUUAGAGUGUUCAAAGCAGGCCUACGCUCUGAAUACAUUAGCAUGGAAUAACACGAUAGGACUCUGGCCUAUCUUGUUGGUCUGUAGGACCGGAGUAAUGAUUAAGAGGGACAGUCGGGGGCAUUCGUAUUUCAUUGUCAGAGGUGAAAUUCUUGGAUUUAUGAAAGACGAACUACUGCGAAAGCAUUUGCCAAGGAUGUUUUCAUUAA
Molecule: ribosomal RNA, 377 nt
Filed under: uncultured eukaryote
Lineage: Eukaryota
Description: partial 18S ribosomal RNA
Rfam family: Eukaryotic small subunit ribosomal RNA
Source: RNAcentral